UCAGGACGAACGCUGGCGGCGUGCCUAAUACAUGCAAGUUGAGCGCUGAAAGGUUGGUACUUGUACCGACUGGAUGAGCAGCGAACGGGUGAGUAACGCGUGGGGAAUCUGCCUUUGAGCGGGGGACAACAUUUGGAAACGAAUGCUAAUACCGCAUAAAAAACUUUAAACACAAGUUUUAAGUUUGAAAGAUGCAAUUGCAUCACUCAAAGAUGAUCCCGCGUUGUAUUAGCUAGUUGGUGAGGUAAAGGCUCACCAAGGCGAUGAUACAUAGCCGACCUGAGAGGGUGAUCGGCCACAUUGGGACUGAGACACGGCCCAAACUCCUACGGGAGGCAGCAGUAGGGAAUCUUCGGCAAUGGACGAAAGUCUGACCGAGCAACGCCGCGUGAGUGAAGAAGGUUUUCGGAUCGUAAAACUCUGUUGGUAGAGAAGAACGUUGGUGAGAGUGGAAAGCUCAUCAAGUGACGGUAACUACCCAGAAAGGGACGGCUAACUACGUGCCAGCAGCCGCGGUAAUACGUAGGUCCCGAGCGUUGUCCGGAUUUAUUGGGCGUAAAGCGAGCGCAGGUGGUUUAUUAAGUCUGGUGUAAAAGGCAGUGGCUCAACCAUUGUAUGCAUUGGAAACUGGUAGACUUGAGUGCAGGAGAGGAGAGUGGAAUUCCAUGUGUAGCGGUGAAAUGCGUAGAUAUAUGGAGGAACACCGGUGGCGAAAGCGGCUCUCUGGCCUGUAACUGACACUGAGGCUCGAAAGCGUGGGGAGCAAACAGGAUUAGAUACCCUGGUAGUCCACGCCGUAAACGAUGAGUGCUAGAUGUAGGGAGCUAUAAGUUCUCUGUAUCGCAGCUAACGCAAUAAGCACUCCGC
RNAcentral lists this ribosomal RNA (867 nucleotides) under Lactococcus lactis subsp. lactis. RNAcentral describes it as "bacterial SSU rRNA". It matches the Rfam family "Bacterial small subunit ribosomal RNA", at positions 24 to 872 of the family's 1533-position model. The record is from RNAcentral. Lineage: Bacteria; Bacillati; Bacillota; Bacilli; Lactobacillales; Streptococcaceae.